This 338-nucleotide unclassified non-coding RNA is filed under the name soil metagenome. Its description in RNAcentral is "partial contains 5.8S ribosomal RNA, internal transcribed spacer 2, and large subunit ribosomal RNA". The stretch from base 1 to 120 matches the Rfam family "5.8S ribosomal RNA", at positions 35 to 154 of the family's 154-position model. The record is from RNAcentral.
GAUGAAGAACGCAGUGAAAUGCGAUAAGUAGUGUGAAUUGCAGAAUUCAGUGAAUCAUCGAAUCUUUGAACGCACAUUGCGCCCUUUGGUAUUCCUUAGGGCAUGCCUGUUCGAGCGUCAUUUAAACCUUCAAGCUCAGCUUGGUGAUGGGCGACUGUCCCCCCCCCUCGCGGGGGGGACUCGCCUCAAAAACAUUGGCGGCCGGUACAUUGGCUUCGAGCGAAGCAGAAACGCGGUCUCGAGCCCGGUGGAUCGGCUCCCAUAAGCCUAUUCUUUUAUUUUGACCUCGGAUCAGGUAGGGAUACCCGCUGAACUUAAGCAUAUCAAUAAGCGGAGGA